UACGUAGGUGGCAAGCGUUGUCCGGAUUUACUGGGUGUAAAGGGCGUGUAGCCGGGCUGACAAGUCAGAUGUGAAAUCCGGGGGCUCAACCCCCGAACUGCAUUUGAAACUGUUGGUCUUGAGUAUCGGAGAGGCAGGCGGAAUUCCUAGUGUAGCGGUGAAAUGCGUAGAUAUUAGGAGGAACACCGGUGGCGAAGGCGGCCUGCUGGACGACAACUGACGGUGAGGCGCGAAAGCGUGGGGAGCAAACAGG
RNAcentral lists this ribosomal RNA (253 nucleotides) under uncultured bacterium. RNAcentral's name for it is "partial 16S ribosomal RNA". It matches the Rfam family "Bacterial small subunit ribosomal RNA", at positions 524 to 776 of the family's 1533-position model. The record is from RNAcentral.